AGAGUUGAUCCUGGCUCAGGAUGAACGCUAGCGGCAGGCUAACACAUGCAAGUCGAGGGGCAUCGGGAGUAGCAAUACUUGCCGGCGACCGGCGCAAGGGUGCGUAACGCGUGAGCAACAUGCCCGUAUCAGGGGGAUAAUCCAUGGAAACGUGGUCUAAUACCCCAUAGUAAUUAUGUAAGGCAUCUUAUAUAAUUUAAAGCUUUGGUGGAUACGGAUUGGCUCGCGUGACAUUAGCUAAAUGGUAAGGUAACGGCUUACCAUGGCUACGAUGUCUAGGGGUUCUGAGAGGAAGGUCCCCCACACUGGAACUGAGACACGGUCCAGACUCCUACGGGAGGCAGCAGUGAGGAAUAUUGGACAAUGGAUGGAAAUCUGAUCCAGCCAUGCCGCGUGCAGGAAGACGGCCCUAUGGGUUGUAAACUGCUUUUGUAUGGGAGCAAUAAGGGCUACGUGUAGUCCGAUGAGAGUACCAUACGAAUAAGCACCGGCUAACUCCGUGCCAGCCGCCGC
This 513-nucleotide ribosomal RNA is filed under the name uncultured bacterium. Its description in RNAcentral is "bacterial SSU rRNA". It matches the Rfam family "Bacterial small subunit ribosomal RNA", at positions 8 to 518 of the family's 1533-position model. The record is from RNAcentral.